Molecule: ribosomal RNA, 403 nt
Filed under: uncultured bacterium
Lineage: Bacteria
Description: partial 16S ribosomal RNA
Rfam family: Bacterial small subunit ribosomal RNA
Source: RNAcentral
GACGAACGCUGGCGGCGUGCCUAAUACAUGCAAGUCGAACGCAGUGGGGACGGGUGAGUAACACGUUGGUAACCUCCCAUCAGAGGGGAUAACACUUGGAAACAGGUGCUAAACCGAUACUGAUGGAUGGACCCGCGGUGCAUUAGCUAGUUGGUGGGGUAACGGCUCACCAAGGCCACGAUGCAUAGCCGACCUGAGAGGGGGAAGUGCAACACUUGGACUGAGACACGGCCCAGACUGCUACGGGAGGCAGCAGUGGGGAAUCGUCGGCAAUGUAAGAAAGUCUGACCGAGCAACGCCGCGUGAGUGAAGAAGGUUUUCGGAUCGUAAAACUCUGUUGUUAGAGAAGCGGUAUCUAAACAGAAAGCCCCGGCUAACUACGUGCCAGCAGCCGCGGUAAUUC